This is a long non-coding RNA of Rhinopithecus roxellana (golden snub-nosed monkey), 1083 nucleotides long. RefSeq lists it as uncharacterized. The record is from RefSeq and is a predicted model, not a curated record. Lineage: Eukaryota; Metazoa; Chordata; Mammalia; Primates; Cercopithecidae. The transcript is spliced from 3 exons.
CCACCACGCCUGGUCACACAACAGCACUUUUUAAAAUAUGAGGAAACUGAGACACGAGGACAGAGAGAGGGCACUGAAUCAGCCUGGAAGCCAGAGAUCUGGGGCCAGGCUAUUAGAAAAUCUUCCUUAUUGAGACAUUCUGAACUGAAUCUUCAAGGACAAGUGACAGGGUGGGCCAUGAAAGGAGAGGGGAAAUUCCUGGAAGAAGGAAAUGGCAAGAGCAGAAUUUUGGCCACGUGGUGGAUAUGUCUUGGAAAUGAAAAUGAGUCCACAGACAGUGAAGGAAGUAUGGCCAAAGGUCAGAACCUGGAGGGAGCAUGGUCACUUCAGUGGCAGAUGGAACCUGGGAAAACUGGGAAGUAGGCUUCAAAAGAAUGGUCAACAGUCAAAGCAGAACCAGAGAGGAUGUUGUCUUGGAAACCAAGGGAAUGGAACAUUUUGAGCAACAGGACAUAGUCAUCGGUGACUUUAAAGGGCAUCCUAUAAGGCAAGGAGGAAGAAAUGUCCCCUCAGCAAUAAUAAGGUUGUUGGUGGCUGUUUUGAUGAAUAGAUGUCUCAUCCACUUCCCUGUCUUUAGGAAGUGAAUGUGAAAGCAGGAGAAGAGGAGGAGGAGCCAGUGAGUGAAGACGCUCUAGAAACUUGGUUGAAGAUACCUAGGCAUUAUGCACCCCUGAGGGAAGAACACAACAUCUCCUACAGAGCAGUCUUACCCAAACAAAUCAAAUCUGCAUCUGAGCAAGCCUCUAUCCAACCAAUAAUUUACAGAAAAUACAGAGAACAGGUGAACCUGUUGAAACACACCAUAGGGAUGCAAUCUGAAAAUCCCAGACUACAACAAACUGCAGAACAAACAACCCAGUUUCCCAGUUUUUUAAAAAUAAAUUGCAAGGGGAAAAAAGAUACGGAGAGAAACUUGUAGUAAAAAGACAGAUCAACCAAUCACAAUUGCAGUGCAGACCCAAUUUGGAUCCUGAUUCAAACAAACAAACAAAAUUUAUGAGACAAAUGGAAAUCUGGCUGGAUAUUUGCUGGCAUAAGGAAUUACUAUUAAUUUUUCUAGUAUGCUAAUGAUAUUGUGCUUAU